CUGUGGAGGAGCCUGCGUUCGAUUAGCUUGUUGGUGGGGUAAAGGCCUACCAAGGCGAUGAUCGAUAGCUGGUCUGAGAGGAUGAUCAGCCACACUGGGACUGAGACACGGCCCAGACUCCUACGGGAGGCAGCAGUGGGGAAUAUUGGACAAUGGGGGCAACCCUGAUCCAGCAAUGCCGCGUGUGUGAAGAAGGUUUUCGGAUUGUAAAGCACUUUCGGCGGGGACGAUGAUGACGGUACCCGCAGAAGAAGCCCCGGCUAACUUCGUGCCAGCAGCCGCGGUAAUACGAAGGGGGCUAGCGUUGCUCGGAAUGACUGGGCGUAAAGGGCGUGUAGGCGGUUUGGACAGUCAGAUGUGAAAUCCCCGGGCUUAACCUGGGAGCUGCAUUUGAUACGUCCAGACUAGAGNGUGAGAGAGGGUUGUGGAAUUCUCAGUGUAGAGGUGAAAUUCGUAGAUAUUGGGAAGAACACCGGUGGC
This 480-nucleotide ribosomal RNA is filed under the name uncultured bacterium. RNAcentral describes it as "bacterial SSU rRNA". It matches the Rfam family "Bacterial small subunit ribosomal RNA", at positions 219 to 716 of the family's 1533-position model. The record is from RNAcentral.